GUUUUCUUUCCACCUAACAAUUCAGCCCGAUCUAACUAAAACGUUGAACUCCAUUUUAGUUGCUUUGAGCUCUCGUCUUCCACCGGUCUCGUCGGCGCCAAGGAUAACGCUUUUCUCAAACUGCAAAACCCUUUUCUACGAUGAUCAACGACCACACACAUCCGUCUGGUCUUGUUCUAUCUAACACCGAAGCAAUUCGCUCAUUUCUGACCUCAGCGUCCAUAGACUCGCAACUUUCCGAUGAACUCCGGCAGAUUGCUUCAGAUCUCGCUUCACAACAAAACAUUCCGUAUAAGCCGCUGAGAGCUAUCUGGUUUGCUAAGGAAUCAUCCGCACGGCCGGACUUGCUUCGUCUUUUGGCUGGAUCGGAGUUCGUCUUGACAAGCCCUAAACCCAGAGAGAAGAGUGAGGAGUUAAAGGCUAGACUGAAGAAGCUUGCAGAUGUAGCAGAGAGGAAGGCUUAUCAGGAACUGGUGAAAGAUAUUGCACCUAAGAAACCAAUUGAGGAGCCUUUCUCUUCCUACAAGGAUCAGCUCGGAUUUGGUUUACAUGUCGUGUUGAUAAUGUUUACUGGCUAUCUGGUUGGAUAUGCUUUAUUCCGAGCAUUGUUUAGGCAUGAUCCAAUCAUGAGUGCUGCUGGAGGUAUCCUUGGAUUAGUUUUCGGCAUGCUUGUAGAAACACUUCUUUUCAUUAUUCGAUCGUCCAAUUAUGAUAAUCGGUCUUCAUCAUCUUCCCAUUCUAAGCUAAAGAAGAGUCAGUAGAGUUACUCCUCUUGAGGUUUGCCUUUCUUUAUACUUAAAUUGAACCCAUGGCAUCCUUGCCUACUGUUUCUAAUAUAACCCAUUGAGUUAACUUUUGCCCUGUGCUGUAUAACUAAGCAUGAACAAGUAAUAAGGCCUUGUUAAUGUGCUUGCUGCAAUUUACUUGUAUAAAGACGCGUUCCUCACAUCAUUUAUCAGGAGAUGAAAUGAUUUUCUUGCACUCUCUUCAGCCUAUGACCACAAGAAAAUGAAAGCGCGAUCAUGUUCUUCAAAUAAUAUUCUUUUGGAAAGAAACGUUAUUGUAAAGAUUUUUAACAAAGAACAAUCAGUUUGAAAUUUGAAGGUAGACCUGGUUGUCCAUCUGGUUGGACGUUACAGGAUCCACAACACCCGACAGGUUCUCCCUCCUUUAAAGAGUGUCUGCGACAUGAUUUCGAGCUGUAGUAUCGAUACACAUUUCUCGGUUUGGUUCGGUUCGAUUGCUUUCACCUUAAACUUCAACACGGGAUUCUGAAGGGCUACUUCCUUCCCGAUAUGCACAAAUCAUGUGGAGGUAUUAUGUUGAGGAUAUAACUCCUUGAAUUCUCACUAGAUUUCGGACUUUUAGAGAGGUUUGGGGGUCAACAUGAGAUGGUAUAUCAUGGAUUGGUAGUUUGGAGGUCCAUUAUCCUAUCUCACUGAUUUUAAUUAUUUGUGGGCCAAUUUUUGGAACAUGUUUCGUAUCUCAUCGUCAUUUUCCUUCCAUGUAUUGUAUGUCACCGUUUCUCUCAACCAUACUCGAUUGUUCAUAUUCGAUCAUUCUCGAUCAUUCAUACUCUAUCAUGCAUCGUACCCGAUUAUGUUUGAACAUACUUGAUCGUUCAUACUUGAUUAUGGUUGAUCAUACUCUAUCAUUCGUACUCGAUUAUGCUUGAAUAUAUUCGAUCAUACUCGAUCAUAUUCGUGUAUUUUAUACUUUUGCAAUAUUAUGUAUUAUUAAUUAUUUUAUUUAUUAAACUGUCCACCAACUUUAAUAAUGACGGUUCUGAUUGUUUAUUAAUUUACACUACCCAUUCAACCACUUCAUUAAUGAGUCAACCAAUUUAUUAAUUGAAUUUGAGUUCAUUCAUGAUGUAAACUUAAUAUUCUGAGGCGGGUCACACUUUUUUUUAAAAAAUAUUUGUUGGGGUUAUUAUUAAUAUUCAACAACCACCCCUCUCCCUUCACUUUUCCUAUAAAACAACAUUGGUCAUUCUCUAUUUACUGAGAGUCUCCACUAUCCAAGAUUUAUUUUGUCAAUUUGGUGAGUUGUUUAACUUCGGUUUCUUCUUCUCUACUUUCUAAUGUUUGGUUCUGUUAUUUUCGCAUUAGUAAGUUUCUAACUUUUGGUUGUUUGGUGGGUGGUAGGGUGCCUCAUUGUACUUUGAUCUGGUAACUCGUGACCUACAUCCAUAUCGUACUUCAUAGAAGCAAUGUAGCCCAAACUAAUACGAAAUAUUCAAUUAGUUUGAAGUUGGUGUGUUACUUCUUUUUGUAUUCCCCUAUAUUUCAUUUCAGUUGUAUUUUUUGUUAUUAAUUUUGGUGUGUUACUUAUAUGAUGGAUAUAUUACAUGGACUGUUUUUUUGGUGUUA
This is a non-coding RNA of Benincasa hispida (wax gourd), 2372 nucleotides long. The record is from RefSeq and is a predicted model, not a curated record. NCBI's taxonomy places the organism in Eukaryota, Viridiplantae, Streptophyta, Magnoliopsida, Cucurbitales, Cucurbitaceae.